RNAcentral lists this ribosomal RNA (429 nucleotides) under Actinomycetes bacterium. RNAcentral describes it as "Actinobacteria bacterium partial 16S ribosomal RNA". It matches the Rfam family "Bacterial small subunit ribosomal RNA", at positions 355 to 776 of the family's 1533-position model. The record is from RNAcentral. Lineage: Bacteria; Bacillati; Actinomycetota; Actinomycetes.
UAGGGAAUCUUCCGCAAUGGGCGAAAGCCUGACGGAGCAACGCCGCGUGAGUGAUGAAGGUCUUCGGAUCGUAAAACUCUGUUAUUAGGGAAGAACAAAUGUGUAAGUAACUAUGCACGUCUUGACGGUACCUAAUCAGAAAGCCACGGCUAACUACGUGCCAGCAGCCGCGGUAAUACGUAGGUGGCAAGCGUUAUCCGGAAUUAUUGGGCGUAAAGCGCGCGUAGGCGGUUUUUUAAGUCUGAUGUGAAAGCCCACGGCUCAACCGUGGAGGGUCAUUGGAAACUGGAAAACUUGGGUGCAGAAGAGGAAAGUGGAAUUCCAUGUGUAGCGGUGAAAUGCGCAGGGAUAUGGAGGAACACCAGUGGCGAAGGCGACUUUCUGGUCUGUAACUGGCGCUGAUGUGCGAAAGCGUGGGGAUCAAACAGG